RNAcentral lists this unclassified non-coding RNA (272 nucleotides) under fungal sp. RNAcentral's name for it is "partial internal transcribed spacer region". The stretch from base 1 to 46 matches the Rfam family "Eukaryotic small subunit ribosomal RNA", at positions 1786 to 1831 of the family's 1831-position model. The record is from RNAcentral. Lineage: Eukaryota; Fungi.
AAGUCGUAACAAGGUUUCCGUAGGUGAACCUGCGGAAGGAUCAUUAAAGAGUAUUAAGGUUAUUGUCUAUUCUCUCUUGAAUAGAUCAAUGCCUUUUUCCUUCUCUACCCCUUAUAUAUUUCUAUUUCCAGUUGCUUUGGUGAUGGUCAUUCUGAUCAUUGCCAAGGGAAAUUUAUAAACCCUUUUUGUUAUCCAAUAAUUGGUUACUUAUUGUCUGAUUUUUAAUGCUGAAAUAGUAUUUAAAACUUUCAACAAUGGAUCUCUUGGUUCUG